This is a long non-coding RNA of Anneissia japonica, 2264 nucleotides long. RefSeq lists it as uncharacterized. The transcript is spliced from 2 exons. The record is from RefSeq and is a predicted model, not a curated record. NCBI's taxonomy places the organism in Eukaryota, Metazoa, Echinodermata, Crinoidea, Comatulida, Comatulidae.
UGCUGUCAUUCAACAAGAUACAGUACGAAGAGUGAAAUAAAUUGCAGUGUGCUAGAUUUAUGCAAUUAUUAAUAUGAUUUCAAGGAGGCACACACAGAUCCUUCAAGAAGUUGAUACCCAAGCAUCAAUAUAUAAACAAAGCAUGACAGAGUUCAUGCCAGAACCUGAACAAUUGAAGUGGAGGAACCAUGAUAUUCCCAUCGGAUUCAGCUCAACAACAAGCUGGUUAAAGCUUCAUUGCCAACAACUUUCUUUCUCUAUCCAUUGUGGAAAGUACAGUUACAAGCUUCUGUGAUAUCUGGCAUGUAGCACAGCCAAGCUUUAACAUCCCAAGCAUAGACUACCUCAGCAGAAUCCUAAUACCACAACAAUAUGCUACCAUCCAGAGUAAACUCAAAUCUCAGAUACAAUUGACUCAAAAUAUCGGUCUCUCCUUGGAUUUUGUGGUCCAGCAAUGAAAUGAAAACCUUCAUAGGAAUAAUGGGCCAUUUCAUUCUGGAUUACAAACAGCAUUCUGUUAUGUUGGGAUGUCGCCGUCUAUAGGGCAAACACACUGCUGAGAAAAUUCUUAAAAUGUACAAAGAAACACUAGUUAUGAUAUUGCAAACAAGGUUCCCAAUGGUGUACAGUAAGAAUGGCCCCCCGGUAAAAAGGGCCCAGGGAAAAAUGGCCAAAGGAAAAAUUCCCCGGUAAAAACCCCAGCAAAGUCUUUGCACACACAUUACAACUCGUCAGAGAUAGCCUAUCAGGAUCAGAAGCUGCACCAAUGCAACAGAUAAUGGCCAAAGCAUCCAUUCUGGUUGGUUACUGCAAUAGGAGAACUACACUGUAGUUACAAGCUUACAGGUUGGUGAUGCUGCUGGAACAACCAGGUCAAGAUAAUCUGAUCAGUUCUAGGAGAGAUCCUACUCAUUGAAUACGAGUUUAAAACAAUUGAGGAAUUAUAUGUGAAAUACUAAAACCAUUUGAGGAAGUAAUUGACAGGAUUGAAGGAGAGCUAAUUGUCACUUCUAGCCCUGUUAUUGCCUGUGUCCAUUGCCUUAAACAAGCUGAAGAAACCUGAGAUGACAUUAAGAAAUUUUAAAAAAUCAAGAUUUAAAAAACAUCAUCUGUUUUAAUGUCAAGUUUAACAAAAUAUAAAUUUCAAUGAAAUAUUUAUCUAUUGAAUUUGUUGAUUCAGAUUCAAUUUUAUUUGUUCAAUAUGGACAUAGUACAUUUUUUUCAAGUAAAAAAAAAAUAUUAUCCCAUAGAUAAAAUAUCCAGACAAAAGAUACAAUUUUAUUAAUUGCAAUAAUAGAUCAGGAUAGUACUGCAUAGUUGCCAACUUAUAUGGACUGGCCGUGAGACUCACGGAUAAUUUAUCAUUUACCAGUUUUACUACGAAUGAACAAAAACUCACGGAGUGAUGGCGACGCUAUCUCAAAAUCGGGGGUGUGCUCUCCCACCCCCUUCACGUUCUUUUGUCUUUGUUUCUUGUGGCUUCAAAAGUGCAAAUUGAGAUGGUUUUCUGUGGAAGGCGCUAUAUAGAUAUAUGACCAUUGACCAUUUUACUCACGGAUCAUGAUUUUUAAACUAAGUAAUAAACAAUGAUUUGCGAACUGCAUACAGUAAUAUGCAAUAAAUAGAUUAUUCGCCAUUCGUCCGUAUUGUUUAUAGUGUAGCAAAGAGUAACCCUAGGCAAUGUGCCAGCCCAGUACGCUCGACGUUAGAAUCGUAAACAAACGACGCCCUUACGCUCGCUACCGUCAGUGUGCUUUUAUUACCCAGUAAUGCACCGUCCAUGGUUUGCUUGUUUGUUUAUCUGUUUUCCACAUGGAAGUAUGCGCAUGGUCUGUACAUCGUGAUUCAUGAAUAAAGUGAGUCCGUAAAAAAUGUUUUAAUUUUACACCAAGCAACUGUCUGGUACUCAUCCUAAGUUUAAAGUACAGUACUAUACUUUGGUCAAAUUUAAAUGAGUAUAGCUUUUUGGUUUUAUUAAGUUUACAUACAUACACUUGACUUAAUUUAGUGUCCAAAAUCAAUCAAAUCAGUAGUGAAAAUGCUCAGAUUGUGUAAGCGUCAAAGGCCCCAGCUCCCACUGUCCCCCAGCCAGUGGCUCGUUGCUACGUAAUGCAAGUCCUCAUGGAUUUCUUUUGGGAAAAGUUGGCAACUGUGCUACUGUAAUUUAUAAAAUAUUAAAAUGCUGAAUAAAGAUGCCAGUUAUUGUAAAAUUGCAAAUUUCACUAGCAAAUAAAUUAGUACCCUUUGGAAGUUUGAGGUAAAUA